UUUGAGAGAAGGGAUGACACAGUAGGAUAAGCUAAGCACACUGUUGGUUAUGUGUGCCCAAGCAUUGAGGCAGUCAAAGUAGGCAAAUCCGCUUUGAUAAUGCUGGGAUGUGAUGGGGAGCGAAAUUUAGUAGCGAAGUAGCUGAUUUCACACUGUCAAGAAAAGUCUCUAUCGAGGUUAAAGGUACCCGUACCGCAAACCGACACAGGUGGGUGAGGAGAGUAUCCUAAGGCCAGCGAGAGAACGGUUGUUAAGGAACUCGGCAAAAUGACCCCGUAACUUAGGGAUAAGGGGUGCCACCAUCAGGUGGCCGCAGAGAAUAGGCCCAAGCGACUGUUUACCAAAAACAUAGGUUUCUGCUAAGUCGCAAGACGAUGUAUAGGAGCUGACGCCUGCCCGGUGCUGG
This 406-nucleotide ribosomal RNA is filed under the name Clostridioides difficile. Its description in RNAcentral is "bacterial LSU rRNA". It matches the Rfam family "Bacterial large subunit ribosomal RNA", at positions 1456 to 1872 of the family's 2925-position model. The record is from RNAcentral. Lineage: Bacteria; Bacillati; Bacillota; Clostridia; Peptostreptococcales; Peptostreptococcaceae.